Molecule: ribosomal RNA, 494 nt
Filed under: uncultured bacterium
Lineage: Bacteria
Description: partial 16S ribosomal RNA
Rfam family: Bacterial small subunit ribosomal RNA
Source: RNAcentral
GACGAACGCUGGCGGCGUGCCUAAUACAUGCAAGUAGAACGCUGAAGGAGGAGCUUGCUUCUCUGGAUGAGUUGCGAACGGGUGAGUAACGCGUAGGUAACCUGCCUGGUAGCGGGGGAUAACUAUUGGAAACGAUAGCUAAUACCGCAUAAUAGCAGUUGUUGCAUGACAACUGUUUGAAAGGUGCAAUUGCACCACUACCAGAUGGACCUGCGUUGUAUUAGCUAGUUGGUGGGGUAACGGCUCACCAAGGCGACGAUACAUAGCCGACCUGAGAGGGUGAUCGGCCACACUGGGACUGAGACACGGCCCAGACUCCUACGGGAGGCAGCAGUAGGGAAUCUUCGGCAAGGGGCGGAAGUCUGACCGAGCAACGCCGCGUGAGUGAAGAAGGUUUUCGGAUCGUAAAGCUCUGUUUUAAGAGAAGAACGAGUGUGAGAGGGGAAAGUUCAACCUGGAACGGUAUUUUACAAGAAAGGGACGGCAAACUAGUG